GACGAACGCUGGCGGCGUGCUUAACACAUGCAAGUCGAACGGAAAGGCCCUGCUUGCAGGGUGCUCGAGUGGCGAACGGGUGAGUAACACGUGGGUGAUCUGCCCCUUACUUUGGGAUAAGCCUGGGAAACUGGGUCUAAUACUGGAUAGGACCAUGCUGUAGGUGGUGUGGUGGAAAGAUUAGUUUCGGUAAGGGAUGAGCUCGCGGCCUAUCAGCUUGUUGGUGGGGUAAUGGCCUACCAAGGCGUCGACGGGUAGCCGGCCAGAGAGGGUGGACGGCCACAUUGGGGCUGAGAUGCGGCCCAGGCUCCUACGGGAGGCAGCAGUGGGGAAUAUUGCACAAUGGGCGCCAGCCUGAUGCAGCGGCGCCGCGUGGGGGAUGACGGCCUUCGGGUUGAAGACUCCUUUCAGCCAUGACGAAGCCUUCGGGUGACGGUAGUGGUAGAAGAAGCACCGGCUAACUACGU
This 467-nucleotide ribosomal RNA is filed under the name uncultured bacterium. RNAcentral describes it as "partial 16S ribosomal RNA". It matches the Rfam family "Bacterial small subunit ribosomal RNA", at positions 28 to 506 of the family's 1533-position model. The record is from RNAcentral.